AUUGAACGCUGGCGGAAUGCUUUACACAUGCAAGUCGAACGGCAGCACGGGGGCAGCCCUGGUGGCGAGUGGCGAACGGGUGAGUAUUACAUCGGAACGUGCCCGGUCGUGGGGGAUAACGUAGCGAAAGUUACGCUAAUACCGCAUACGAUCUGAGGAUGAAAGCGGGGGACCUUCGGGCCUCGCGCGAUCGGAGCGUCCGAUGUCAGAUUAGGUAGUUGGUGGGGUAAAGGCCUACCAAGCCGACGAUCUGUAGCUGGUCUGAGAGGACGGCCAGCCACACUGGGACUGAGACACGGCCCAGACUCCUACGGGAGGCAGCAGUGGGGAAUUUUGGACAAUGGGCGCAAGCCUGAUCCAGCCAUUCCGCGUGCAGGACGAAGGCCUUCGGGUUGUAAACUGCUUUUGUAUGGAACGAAAAGGCUCUGGCUAAUACCUGGGGCUCAUGACGGUACCGUAAGAAUAAGCACCGGCUAACUACGUG
RNAcentral lists this ribosomal RNA (484 nucleotides) under uncultured bacterium. Its description in RNAcentral is "partial 16S ribosomal RNA". It matches the Rfam family "Bacterial small subunit ribosomal RNA", at positions 30 to 507 of the family's 1533-position model. The record is from RNAcentral.